RNAcentral lists this ribosomal RNA (280 nucleotides) under uncultured bacterium. RNAcentral describes it as "partial 16S ribosomal RNA". It matches the Rfam family "Bacterial small subunit ribosomal RNA", at positions 506 to 784 of the family's 1533-position model. The record is from RNAcentral.
UGCCAGCCGCCGCGGUAAGACGAAGGUGGCAACCGUUGUUCGGAAUUACUGGGCAUAAAGAGCUCGUAGGCAGUUCAGUAAGUCAGGUGUGAAAGUCCAAGGCUCAACUUUGGAACGCCACUUGAUACUGCUGUGACUAGAGUCCGGUAGAGGAGUGUGGAAUUUCUGGUGUAGCGGUGAAAUGCGCAGAUAUCAGAAGGAACACCAACGGCGAAGGCAGCACUCUGGGCCGGUACUGACGCUGAGGAGCGAAAGCAUGGGGAUCAAACCGGAUUAGAUA